GAUGAACGCUGGCGGCGUGCCUAAUACAUGCAAGUCGAGCGAACAGAUAAGGAGCUUGCUCCUUUGACGUUAGCGGCGGACGGGUGAGUAACACGUGGAUAACCUACCUAUAAGACUGGGAUAACUUCGGGAAACCGGAGCUAAUACCGGAUAACAUAUUGAACCGCAUGGUUCAAUAGUGAAAGGCGGCUUUGCUGUCACUUAUAGAUGGAUCCGCGCCGUAUUAGCUAGUUGGUAAGGUAACGGCUUACCAAGGCAACGAUACGUAGCCGACCUGAGAGGGUGAUCGGCCACCCUGGAACUGAGACACGGUCCAUACUCCUACGGGAGGCAGCAGUAGGGAAUCUUCCGCAAUGGGCGAAAGCCUGACGGAGCAACGCCGCGUGAGUGAUGAAGGUCUUCGGAUCGGAAAACUCUGUUAUCAGGGAAGAACAAAUGUGUAAGUAACUGUGCACAUCUUGACGGUACCUGAUCAGAAAGCCACGGCUAACUACGUG
Molecule: ribosomal RNA, 497 nt
Filed under: uncultured bacterium
Lineage: Bacteria
Description: partial 16S ribosomal RNA
Rfam family: Bacterial small subunit ribosomal RNA
Source: RNAcentral